This 852-nucleotide ribosomal RNA is filed under the name uncultured Pseudomonadota bacterium. RNAcentral's name for it is "bacterial SSU rRNA". It matches the Rfam family "Bacterial small subunit ribosomal RNA", at positions 62 to 890 of the family's 1533-position model. Lineage: Bacteria; Pseudomonadati; Pseudomonadota. The record is from RNAcentral.
UCGAACGCGAAAGUCCCCUUCGGGGGAUAAGUAGAGUGGCGUCCGGGUGAGUAACACGUAGGUAAUCUACCUUCGGGUGGGGAAUAACCCAGGGAAACUUGGGCUAAUACCGCAUAAUGCAGCGGCACCACAUGGUGACAGUUGUUAAAGCGGGGGAUCUUCGGACCUCGCGCCUGAAGAGGAGCCUGCGGCAGAUUAGCUAGUUGGUAAGGUAACGGCUUACCAAGGCGACGAUCUGUAGCCGGCCUGAGAGGGCGGUCGGCCACACUGACACUGACAUACGGGUCAGACUCCUACGGGAGGCAGCAGUCGGGAAUUUUGGGCAAUGGGCGAAAGCCUGACCCAGCAACGCCGCGUGAAGGAUGAAAUCCUUCGGGAUGUAAACUUCGCAAGAAUGGGAAGAAUUAGUAGGGGCUAAUACCCCCUAUGAUGACGGUACCAUUUGUAAGCUCCGGCUAACUCCGUGCCAGCAGCCGCGGUAAUACGGGGGGAGCAAGCGUUGUUCGGAUUUACUGGGCGUAAAGGGCGCGUAGGCGGUCAGCACAAGUCAGUUGUGAAAUCUCCGGGCUUAACUCGGAAAGGUCAACUGAUACUGUGCGACUAGAGUGCGGAAGGGGCAACUGGAAUUCUCGGUGUAGCGGUGAAAUGCGUAGAUAUCGAGAGGAACACCUGCGGCGAAGGCGGGUUGCUGGGCCGACACUGACGCUGAUGCGCGAAAGCCAGGGGAGCGAACGGGAUUAGAUACCCCGGUAGUCCUGGCCUUAAACGAUGGAUGCUUGGUGUCUGGAGUUUUAUAGUCUCCGGGUGCCGUAGCUAACGCGUUAAGCAUCCCGCCUGGGGAGUACGGUCGCA